CCUACGGGCGGCAGCAGUGAGGAAUAUUGGUCAAUGGGCGCGAGCCUGAACCAGCCAUGCAGCGUGAAGGAUGAUUGCCUUACGGGUUGUAAACUUCUUUUAUCAAGGACUAUAGUGAGGCCGGUGUGCCUUUUUGUAUGUACUUUAUGAAUAACGAUCGGCUAACUCCGUGCCAGCAUCGGCGGUAAUCCGGUGGUUCCGAGCUUUAUCCGGAUUUAUUGGGUUAAAGGGGAGCUUAGCUGGAUGGUUAAUCCGGUUGGGAAUGCUUGCGGCUCACGCGUAAAAUUGCAAUUGAUACUGGCAGGCUGGAGUACAGAUGAGGUAGGCGGAAUGCGUGGUGUAGCGGUGAAAUGCUUAGAUAUCACGAAGAACUCCGAUUGCGAAGGCAGCUUACUAAACUGCCACUGACAUUGAUGCUCGAAAGUGUGGGUAUCAAACAGGAUUAGAUACCCGAGUAGUC
RNAcentral lists this ribosomal RNA (460 nucleotides) under uncultured bacterium. Its description in RNAcentral is "partial 16S ribosomal RNA". It matches the Rfam family "Bacterial small subunit ribosomal RNA", at positions 338 to 795 of the family's 1533-position model. The record is from RNAcentral.